Molecule: small nucleolar RNA, 82 nt
Filed under: Plasmodium ovale (malaria parasite P. ovale)
Lineage: Eukaryota; Apicomplexa; Aconoidasida; Haemosporida; Plasmodiidae
Description: small nucleolar RNA snoR23
Rfam family: small nucleolar RNA snoR23
Source: Rfam by way of RNAcentral
UGCAAAUGAUGAAUACAAAAAAAUUUUAACUUUCGUUCUUCUGUAUCGUUAGAAGUGAAGAUAAUCUUUGUGUCUGAUGCAA